RNAcentral lists this non-coding RNA (176 nucleotides) under Virgibacillus pantothenticus. The record is from RNAcentral. Lineage: Bacteria; Bacillati; Bacillota; Bacilli; Caryophanales; Bacillaceae.
UCUAGGGCGACCCCGGAAUCUGAAGGAAAUUGGCGGCAAAUCUCCGCCUUUAGGAACAUGAACUUCAAUAGAAGGCUAGGUUAUACUUGGAUGAGAUUGCCGAACAAAUCAAAGUCCAUACUGCCAAAGGGUAUACAGAGUAAAUGGUGUUGAGAUAUGGAGAGGAAGAAUGUGCG